This is a non-coding RNA of Rhamnusium bicolor, 73 nucleotides long. NCBI's taxonomy places the organism in Eukaryota, Metazoa, Arthropoda, Insecta, Coleoptera, Cerambycidae. The record is from the annotation of a GenBank genome assembly.
UGUUCAGUGGUUGAGUGCUUAUACGUUAGGCUUGAGACCAAAGGGUCUCUGGUUUGAAUCCUGGCUAGGGCAA